Molecule: unclassified non-coding RNA, 1199 nt
Filed under: Hevea brasiliensis (rubber tree)
Lineage: Eukaryota; Viridiplantae; Streptophyta; Magnoliopsida; Malpighiales; Euphorbiaceae
Source: RNAcentral
UUUUCCCUCAGUACAGAGAAAAAUACUUGCAAGAAGUGUGGCCAAUGGUGAAAUCUGCUUUGAAGGAAUAUGGCGUUGCAUGUGAGUUGAACCUGGUUGAGGGGUCAAUGACUGUUUCAACUACUAGAAAAACUAGGGAUCCCUAUAUCAUUAUCAAAGCGAGGGAUCUCAUUAAGCUUUUAUCAAGAAGUGUUCCAGCACCUCAGGCAAUCAAAAUUCUGAAUGAUGAAAUGCAGUGCGACAUCAUCAAGAUUGGAAACUUGGUCCGCAAUAAGGAGCGAUUUGUUAAACGACGACAGCAUCUUGUGGGUCCAAAUUCUUCCACUUUGAAGGCCCUUGAGAUUUUGACAGGCUGCUACAUCUUAGUUCAGGGAAACACUGUCGCUGCUAUGGGCUCAUUUAAAGGUUUGAAACAAGUAAGAAGGAUUGUGGAAGACUGCAUUCAAAAUAAAAUGCAUCCUGUAUACCAUAUAAAGAUUCUUAUGAUGAAGAAAGAACUUGAAAUGGAUCCUGCACUUAAAAAUGAGAACUGGGACAGGUUCCUUCCCAAGUUUAAGAAGAAAAAUGUCAAACAAAAGAAGGUUAAGAGCAAAGAAAAGAAACCAUAUACACCAUUCCCUCCUCCUCAACCACCUAGUAAGGUUGAUAUGCAGCUGGAGUCAGGAGAAUACUUUUGGAGCAACCAGAAGAAACAAGCGAAGAAGUGGCAAGAGAAACAGGAGAAGCAAGCAGAAAAAACAGCUGAAAACAAAAGAAAACGGGAAGCUGCUUUCAUUCCUCCCGAGGAGCCCAAAGAGCAGAAUGCUGGUACAUCAGAGGAUAAAAAUAAUGAUGUGGCUGCUAUUGCCAUCUCAAUAAAGGCAAAGGCAAAGGAAUUCGGGAAGAAAAAGGCUAUUGAGAAUGUCAAUGCAGAAGAAUAUAUUGCUGCAUCAGGAGAGCUACCUAAGAAAAAGAAAUCAAAGCAUGUUUAGUCUAGAUAUUCAUGCUUAUCAUAGAACGCUUUUAUUAGUUUGGCUUUGCUAAGUUGCAUGCCAUUGUAUACCUUGUUUAUUAUUUUUGUUAAGUUGCAUGCCUUUGUAUUCCUUGUUUAUUAUUUUUGUUGAGUUGCAUGCCAUGGCUCUGAUAUGAUGUUAGGACUAUGUCCUGUUUAGGGAACGAUCCUGUAUGAUCCUUAAAGCUUGCAACUCAACAAAAAUAAU